RNAcentral lists this ribosomal RNA (433 nucleotides) under uncultured bacterium. RNAcentral describes it as "partial 16S ribosomal RNA". It matches the Rfam family "Bacterial small subunit ribosomal RNA", at positions 29 to 507 of the family's 1533-position model. The record is from RNAcentral.
AACGAACGCUGGCGGCAUGCCUAACACAUGCAAGUCGAACGAGACCUUCGGGUGUAGUGGCGCAUGGGUGCGUCACGCGUGGGAACCUGCCCUUAGGUUCGGAAUAACUCCCUGAAAGGGGUGCUAAUACCGGAUAAUGUCUUCGGACCAAAGAUUUAUCGCCUUUGGAUGGGCCCGCGUUGGAUUAGCUAGUUGGUAGGGUAAAAGCCUACCAAGGCGACGAUCCAUAGCUGGUCUGAGAGGAUGAUCAGCCACACUGGGACUGAGACACGGCCCAGACUCCUACGGGAGGCAGCAGUGGGGAAUAUUGGACAAUGGGCGAAGGCCUGAUCCAGCAAUGCCGCGUGAGUGAUGAAGGCCUUAGGGUUGUAAAGCUCUUUUACCCGGGAUGAUAAUGACAGUACCGGGAGAAUAAGCUCCGGCUAACUCCGUG